RNAcentral lists this ribosomal RNA (253 nucleotides) under uncultured bacterium. RNAcentral's name for it is "partial 16S ribosomal RNA". It matches the Rfam family "Bacterial small subunit ribosomal RNA", at positions 524 to 776 of the family's 1533-position model. The record is from RNAcentral.
UACGGGGGGGGCAAGCGUUGUUCGGAAUUACUGGGCGUAAAGGGCGCGUAGGCGGUCCGCUAAGUUGGAUGUGAAAACUCUGGGCUUAACCCAGAGCCUGCAUUCAAAACUGACGGGCUGGAGUUCUGGAGGGGAUAGCGGAAUUCCUGGUGUAGCGGUGAAAUGCGUAGAUAUCAGGAGGAACAUCGAUGGCGAAGGCAAUCACCUGGGCCUGAACUGACACUGAGACACGAAAGCGUGGGUAGCAAACAGG